AGCGAACGCUGGCGGCAGGCCUAACACAUGCAAGUCGAACGAACCUUUCGGGGUUAGUGGCGGACGGGUGAGUAACACGUGGGAACGUGCCUUUAGGUUCGGAAUAUCUCAGGGAAACUUGUGCUAAUACCGAAUGUGCCCUUCGGGGGAAAGAUUAAUCGCCUUUAGAGCGGCCCGCGUCUGAUUAGCUAGUUGGUUGAGGUAAUGGCUCACCAAGGCGACGAUCAGUAGCUGGUCUGAGAGGAUGAUCAGCCACAUUGGGACUGAGACACGGCCCAAACUCCUACGGGAGGCAGCAGUGGGGAAUCUUGCGCAAUGGGCGAAAGCCUGACGCAGCCAUGCCGCGUGAAUGAUGAAGGUCUUAGGAUUGUAAAAUUCUUUCAACGGGGACGAUAAUGACGGUACCCGGAGAAGAAGCCCCGGCUAACUUCGUG
Molecule: ribosomal RNA, 434 nt
Filed under: uncultured bacterium
Lineage: Bacteria
Description: partial 16S ribosomal RNA
Rfam family: Bacterial small subunit ribosomal RNA
Source: RNAcentral